UCUUUCUCUAAAACUGAUUGAAGGACCUGAUCCAAAUUAUAAAGAUAUCUGUUUUUCUGGUGCAGGAAGUGACAUCUCACAACUCUCGAAAUCCUUUCCACCUGUCGACAUGGUAUUCAGCAAUGGAAAGAAACUGUCUCUGUCCCCUGAAAACUACCUGUUCCGGCACUCAAAGGUGCGUGGUGCUUAUUGUCUGGGGAUAUUUCAGAAUGGGAAGGAUGCAACAACUCUUCUUGGAGGAAUUAUUGUCCGCAACACACUUGUAACGUAUGAUCGUCAACAUGAAAUGGUUGGUUUCUGGAAAACCAAUUGUUCUGAUUUAUGGAACAGACUCAAUUUAUCUCCUCCACCUCCAUCGCCCUCAGGCUUGGUUAACACAAACUCCACUGGAAGUAUGUAUCCUACAUUGGUUCCUACUGGAUCUCCUGGG
RNAcentral lists this unclassified non-coding RNA (430 nucleotides) under Hevea brasiliensis (rubber tree). The record is from RNAcentral. Lineage: Eukaryota; Viridiplantae; Streptophyta; Magnoliopsida; Malpighiales; Euphorbiaceae.